UACGUAGGGGGCAAGCGUUGUCCGGAAUCAUUGGGCGUAAAGCGCGUGUAGGCGGGUCGUUAAGUCUGCUCUGAAAGUCCAAGGCUCAACCUUGGGAUGCGGGUGGAUACUGGCGACCUCGAGUCCGGAAGAGGCGAGUGGAAUUCCUGGUGUAGCGGUGAAAUGCGCAGAUAUCAGGAGGAACACCAAUGGCGAAGGCAGCUCGCUGGGACGUGACUGACGCUGAGACGCGAAAGCGUGGGGAGCAAACAGG
This 253-nucleotide ribosomal RNA is filed under the name uncultured bacterium. RNAcentral's name for it is "partial 16S ribosomal RNA". It matches the Rfam family "Bacterial small subunit ribosomal RNA", at positions 524 to 776 of the family's 1533-position model. The record is from RNAcentral.